UGAUCAAAGAUGACCUCUGUUUACAAGUUAUCGUUUGGAGAUGGACUUGCGCCUCAUUAGCUAGUUGGUGAGGUAACGGCCCACCAAGGCUUUGAUGGGUAGCCGGCCUGAGAGGGUGUACGGCCACAUUGGGACUGAGAUACGGCCCAGACUCCUACGGGAGGCAGCAGUAGGGAAUUUUGCGCAAUGGACGAAAGUCUGACGCAGCAACGCCGCGUGAGUGAUGAAGGUCUUCGGAUUGUAAAGCUCUGUUGAGUGGGAAGAACAGUUCCGGGAAUAAUACCUCGGAAUUUGACGGUACCACUUGAGGAAGCCCCGGCUAACUACGUGCCAGCAGCCGCGGUAAUACGUAGGGGGCAAGCGUUGUUCGGAAUCACUGGGCGUAAAGGGAGCGUAGGCGGGGAAAUAAGUUAGAAGUUUAAUGUACGGGCUUAACCCGUAAUCUGCUUCUAAUACUGUUUUUCUUGAGUAUGGGAGAGGGAGAUGGAAUUCCAGGUGUAGCGGUGGAAUGCGUAGAUAUCUGGAAGAACACCAGCUGCGAAGGCGGUCUCCUGGCCCAAUACUGACGCUGAGGCUCGAAAGCUAG
Molecule: ribosomal RNA, 586 nt
Filed under: uncultured bacterium
Lineage: Bacteria
Description: bacterial SSU rRNA
Rfam family: Bacterial small subunit ribosomal RNA
Source: RNAcentral